GACGAACGCUGGCGGCGGGCUUAACACAUGCAAGUCGAACGGAAAGGCCCUGCUUGUGUGGGGUUCUCGAGUGGCGAACGGGUGAGUAACACGUGAGUAACCUGCCCUUGACUUUGGGAUAACUUCAGGAAACGAGGGCUAAUACCGGAUAGGAGCUCCUGCUGCAUGGUGGGGGGUGGAAAGUUUCGGCGGUUGGGGAUGGACGCGCGGCUUAUCAGCUUGUUGGUGGGGGAGUGGCUUACCAAGGCUUUGACGGGUAGCCGGCCUGAGAGGGUGACCGGCCACAUUGGGACUGAGAUACGGCCCAGAGUGCUACGGGAGGCAGCAGUGGGGAAUAUUGCACAAUGGGCGGAAGCCUGAUGCAGCAACGCCGCGUGCGGGAUGACGGCCUUCGGGUUGUAAACCGCUUUCGCCUGUGACGAAGCGUGAGUGACGGUAAUGGGUAAAGAAGCACCGGCUAACUACGUG
RNAcentral lists this ribosomal RNA (468 nucleotides) under uncultured bacterium. RNAcentral's name for it is "partial 16S ribosomal RNA". It matches the Rfam family "Bacterial small subunit ribosomal RNA", at positions 28 to 507 of the family's 1533-position model. The record is from RNAcentral.